Molecule: long non-coding RNA, 280 nt
Filed under: Oryza brachyantha (malo sina)
Lineage: Eukaryota; Viridiplantae; Streptophyta; Magnoliopsida; Poales; Poaceae
Description: long non-coding RNA (OBRA_LNC002580)
Source: RNAcentral
UGCUUUGCGAUCAGUUCUAAUCCCCUCCGCCACCUGGCCCGUCUUCCCUUUACGCCAGCAAACGCACUCGGGCGGCGACACCGUCCUCCUCCCUCUCGGUGUGGAUCCGACGGCGGCGUCACCGAGGUGGCCCUCCGGCCGUCCGGCGCCGGCAAGGCCGACGUGGAGGCCGGUCGGCGGCGCGCCCUCAGGCCGGCGCUGGGAGGGGCUCACCCGGCGGCACCGUCGUCCUCCCACUCAGCGCGGAUCUGACGGCGCCCUCCCCGAGGCAGACCUCCGG